UUAAGCGACUAAGCGUACACGGUGGAUGCCCUGGCAGUCAGAGGCGAUGAAGGACGUGCUAAUCUGCGAAAAGCGUCGGUAAGGUGAUAUGAACCGUUAUAACCGGCGAUGUCCGAAUGGGGAAACCCAGUGCAAUUCGUUGCACUAUCGUUAACUGAAUACAUAGGUUAACGAGGCGAACCGGGGGAACUGAAACAUCUAAGUACCCCGAGGAAAAGAAAUCAACCGAGAUUCCCCCAGUAGCGGCGAGCGAACGGGGAGCAGCCCAGAGUCUGAAUCAGCUUGUGUGUUAGUGGAACGGUCUGGAAAGUCCGACGGUACAGGGUGAUAGUCCCGUACACCAAAAUGCACAGGCUGUGAACUCGAAGAGUAGGGCGGGACACGUGGUAUCCUGUCUGAAUAUGGGGGGACCAUCCUCCAAGGCUAAAUACUCCUGACUGACCGAUAGUGAACCAGUACCGUGAGGGAAAGGCGAAAAGAACCCCGGCGAGGGAGUGAAAAGAACCUGAAACCGUGUACGUACAAGCAGUGGGAGCACCUUCGGGUGUGACUGCGUACCUUUGUAUAAUGGGUCAGCGACUUAUAUUCUGUAGCAAGGUUAACCGUAUAGGGGAGCCGCAGGAAACCGAGUCUUAACUGGGCGUUAAGUUGCAGGGUAUAGACCCGAAACCCGGUGAUCAGCCAUGGGCAGGUUGAAGGUUGGGUAACACUAACUGGAGGACCGAACCGACUAAUGUUGAAAAAUUAGCGGAUGACUUGUGGCUGGGGUGAAAGGCCAAUCAAACCGGGAGAUAGCUGGUUCUCCCGAAAGCUAUUUAGGUAGCGCCUCGUGAAUUCAUCUUCGGGGGUAGAGCACUGUUUCGGCUAGGGGGUCAUCCCGACUUACCAACCCGAUGCAAACUACGAAUACCGAAGAAUGUUAUCACGGGAGACACACGGCGGGUGCUAACGUCCGUCGUGAAGAGGGAAACAACCCAGACCGCCAGCUAAGGUCCCAAAGUCAUGGUUAAGUGGGAAACGAUGUGGGAAGGCACAGACAGCCAGGAUGUUGGCUUAGAAGCAGCCAUCAUUUAAAGAAAGCGUAAUAGCUCACUGGUCGAGUCGGCCUGCGCGGAAGAUGUAACGGGGCUAAACCAUGCACCGAAGCUGCGGCAGCGACACUAUGUGUUGUUGGGUAGGGGAGCGUUCUGUAAGCCUGCGAAGGUGUGCUGUGAGGCAUGCUGGAGGUAUCAGAAGUGCGAAUGCUGACAUAAGUAACGAUAAAGCGGGUGAAAAGCCCGCUCGCCGGAAGACCAAGGGUUCCUGUCCAACGUUAAUCGGGGCAGGGUGAGUCGACCCCAAGGCGAGGCCGAAAGGCGUAGUCGAUGGGAAACAGGUUAAUAUUCCUGUACUUGGUGUUACUGCGAAGGGGGGACGGAGAAGGCUAUGUUAGCCGGGCGACGGUUGUCCCGGUUUAAGCAUGUAGGCUGGUUAUCCAGGCAAAUCCGGAUAAUCAAGGCUGAGGUGUGAUGACGAGGCACUACGGUGCUGAAGUAACAAAUGCCCUGCUUCCAGGAAAAGCCUCUAAGCAUCAGGUAACAUCAAAUCGUACCCCAAACCGACACAGGUGGUCAGGUAGAGAAUACCAAGGCGCUUGAGAGAACUCGGGUGAAGGAACUAGGCAAAAUGGUGCCGUAACUUCGGGAGAAGGCACGCUGGUGUGUAGGUGAAGUCCCUGCGGAUGGAGCUGAGACCAGUCGAAGAUACCAGCUGGCUGCAACUGUUUAUUAAAAACACAGCACUGUGCAAACACGAAAGUGGACGUAUACGGUGUGACGCCUGCCCGGUGCCGGAAGGUUAAUUGAUGGGGUUAUCCGUAAGGAGAAGCUCUUGAUCGAAGCCCCGGUAAACGGCGGCCGUAACUAUAACGGUCCUAAGGUAGCGAAAUUCCUUGUCGGGUAAGUUCCGACCUGCACGAAUGGCGUAAUGAUGGCCAGGCUGUCUCCACCCGAGACUCAGUGAAAUUGAACUCGCUGUGAAGAUGCAGUGUACCCGCGGCAAGACGGAAAGACCCCGUGAACCUUUACUAUAGCUUGACACUGAACAUUGAGCCUUGAUGUGUAGGAUAGGUGGGAGGCUUUGAAGCGUGGACGCCAGUCUGCGUGGAGCCAACCUUGAAAUACCACCCUUUAAUGUUUGAUGUUCUAACGUUGGCCCUUACCGGGGUUGCGGACAGUGUCUGGUGGGUAGUUUGACUGGGGCGGUCUCCUCCCAAAGCGUAACGGAGGAGCACGAAGGUUAGCUAAUCCUGGUCGGACAUCAGGAGGUUAGUGCAAUGGCAUAAGCUAGCUUGACUGCGAGCGUGACGGCGCGAGCAGGUGCGAAAGCAGGUCAUAGUGAUCCGGUGGUUCUGAAUGGAAGGGCCAUCGCUCAACGGAUAAAAGGUACUCCGGGGAUAACAGGCUGAUACCGCCCAAGAGUUCAUAUCGACGGCGGUGUUUGGCACCUCGAUGUCGGCUCAUCACAUCCGGGCUGAAGUAGGUCCCAAGGGUAUGGCUGUUCGCCAUUUAAAGUGGUACGCGAGCUGGGUUUAGAACGUCGUGAGACAGUUCGGUCCCUAUCUGCCGUGGGCGCUGGAGAAUUGAGGGGGGCUGCUCCUAGUACGAGAGGACCGGAGUGGACGCAUCACUGGUGUUCGGGUUGUCAUGCCAAUGGCACUGCCCGGUAGCUAAAUGCGGAAGAGAUAAGUGCUGAAAGCAUCUAAGCACGAAACUUGCCCCGAGAUGAGUUCUCCCUGAGACUUUAAGUCUCCUGAAGGAACGUUAAAGACGAUGACGUUGAUAGGCCGGGUGUGUAAGCGCAGCGAUGCGUUGAGCUAACCGGUACUAAUGAACCGUGAGGCUUAACCU
Molecule: ribosomal RNA, 2888 nt
Filed under: Klebsiella pneumoniae
Lineage: Bacteria; Pseudomonadati; Pseudomonadota; Gammaproteobacteria; Enterobacterales; Enterobacteriaceae
Description: bacterial LSU rRNA
Rfam family: Bacterial large subunit ribosomal RNA
Source: RNAcentral